RNAcentral lists this ribosomal RNA (518 nucleotides) under Holothuria hilla. RNAcentral describes it as "partial large subunit ribosomal RNA". It matches the Rfam family "Bacterial large subunit ribosomal RNA", at positions 1810 to 2596 of the family's 2925-position model. Lineage: Eukaryota; Metazoa; Echinodermata; Holothuroidea; Aspidochirotida; Holothuriidae. The record is from RNAcentral.
AAAACAUAGCCCUUUGAACAUAUAAAGGGUCCCGCCUGCCCAGUGGCCCAAGGCUAAACGGCCGCGGUAUCUUGACCGUGCAAAGGUAGCAUAAUCAUUUGUCUUUUAAAUGGAGACUUGUAUGAACGGCGAAACCUUCUUAAACUGUCUCCCUCCCUGCCCUUCAAAACUCUUACUUAAGUGAAGAAACUUAACUACACCCGAAAGACGAAAAGACCCUGUCGAGCUUCAGCCAAAAGGUGAACGAAGGUUUAAUCACAAAACCCCCAUCACCAAAAGGCUUUGGUUGGGGCAACCAUGGAGAAGAACUAUCCUCCAGAAUAAGUAGUCGAAACCAAUUCACUACUACAAAUUAAAGAACCAGGAACUGGUAAUCGGAAAAAGUUACCGCAGGGAUAACAGCGUCAUCCCCUUUAAGAGUCCUUAUUGACAAGGGGGUUUGCGACCUCGAUGUUGGAUUGGGGCCUCCCUAGGGUGCAGAAGCUCUAAAAGGUUAGACUGUUCGUCUAUUAAAGCCC